Molecule: long non-coding RNA, 638 nt
Organism: Gasterosteus aculeatus aculeatus (three-spined stickleback)
Lineage: Eukaryota; Metazoa; Chordata; Actinopteri; Perciformes; Gasterosteidae
Source: Ensembl
GUGAGAUGUUUGGAAAGCUUGUACUUGGUGGUGUUGGCCAAUCAGAUCGAUAACAGUAAAACAUUGGUGCUUCACCGCAACCGUAACACGUCCAAUCCGACCGGCUGAAGAAGCUCCGGUGUCCUCUGCAUAGCCGGCUUUGUUUAUGUCCGUCACGAACACCCACGACAUGUAAAGACCGAAUCCCCAUGAACACGUCAGCUUCCUGUUCCUCGAGUGACACGAGCCAGGCGACCCAACUGGUUUCAUUCCAUUAUCCGGUCCAAUGCCACACCAAAGCGGUUGUUUGGAGAAGAAGCAGCUCGGACGGCAGCGCAGAGAAGAGGAAGCAACGUCAUCAUGGAAACAGUUGCAUAGACCCUCAAACUGGUCAAACUGGUAACCAGAUUCUGCCUUUUAUGUAUUUUUUGUGUUUGGAGCGGAUCACCGCUUCAGUGCUUUAUUCUUCUCUCAUGUUUGUUACGUUGCCUUUAAUUUACCGACAGGAAACGUCACAGCGCUUAGCGCUGGUUUACGGGUCACCUGUGGUGAGAUUAUUGCUCUGAAACAAGUGCCUCUUCUAAGGAAACAGGAAACAUUGGGCCACUUAAAAAAAAACCACAGGCAGCCGGAUGGAGCUCAGUGAACAGAGACGUGUG